This 207-nucleotide ribosomal RNA is filed under the name uncultured bacterium. Its description in RNAcentral is "partial 16S ribosomal RNA". It matches the Rfam family "Bacterial small subunit ribosomal RNA", at positions 568 to 774 of the family's 1533-position model. The record is from RNAcentral.
UGCGUAGGUGGCUUGGCAAGUCAGAUGUGAAAUCCCCGGGCUUAACUCGGGUGCUGCAUUUGAAACUGCUGAGCUUGAGUGCAGGAGAGGAAAGCGGAAUUCCUAGUGUAGCGGUGAAAUGCGUAGAUAUUAGGAGGAACACCAGUGGCGAAGGCGGCUUUCUGGACUGUAACUGACACUGAGGCACGAAAGCGUGGGGAGCAAACA